CUUCUUCCUCGGCGCUGCCUGCGAGGUGGCUGCCAUCUGUUUUGCGGCAUCAUGGCUGCCCUUCGGCCUCUGGUGAAGCCCAAGAUCGUCAAAAAGAGGACCAAGAAGUUCAUCAGGCACCAGUCGGACCGAUAUGUGAAAAUUAAGGUAUGUCCUGGGAUGGGGGUGAGUGCUGGGGUUAAGAUCUGAGCACACAUUUCUGGUAUCACCUAUCUCGGCAGUCGGUUGGCUUUUCUUUUUUAAGAUGAUACUUUCUGCUUUAUAUGUGUAUGUGUGAAGGGCAGGGGACUUUAAGGAGUUGAUUCUCUCCUUCCCGUCGUGUGGGGCCAGGUGAUCAGACUUAGGCUGUCUAGCAGCAGGCACGGUUAAGCCAUCUCUGCAGCCUGACCUAAUAUUUUAAAGAUCUUUGGGUUUUUUACUAUGCCUGCACACUAGGCGCAUGCAUUUGUGGAAUUGACCUUUGGACCUCUGGAAGAGCAGCCUUUCAACUGCUAAGACUUCUCACACUAGGCCCAGAGAUGACCAGUUGUCUGGAUGGGCAUGCACAGCCAGCAGUUAACUGACCCCUCCUCCCUGCCCCUUCUUUGAAACUUAAUUGAAGUGGAAAAUGAUGUUGAAAUUCCAGUCUCAGGUGCUAUGGAUGGAGCCCAGGCCCUCGGGAACUAAAAACAGUGAGAUACAUUAUUGUACUGUGUACAGUCCCCUCUAAUCCUGACCCAUGAAGUCAGUCUGAUCAGGUAGGAAGGAAGGUUUGGUUUUGUUGGGAAAUUCUACAGUGAAGCACACUUUCAAGGCCUCUGUUUUUCUUCUGUAAUGAAGUGUAUAAAAAGCAGGAAGUUAAAUUAUCCAAGAGUGCCUCCUAUAUGACAAGACUCUUGAAUUCUGCCCCUUCCUGACAAGGAAGAGCUGGUAGUUUGCAUGGAGUCUAACUUGCCUGUGUGUGUCUUUAGCGAAACUGGCGGAAACCCAGAGGCAUCGACAACAGGGUGCGGAGAAGAUUCAAGGGCCAGAUCCUGAUGCCCAACAUUGGUUACGGGAGUAACAAGAAAACCAAGCACAUGCUGCCUAGCGGCUUCCGGAAGUUUCUGGUCCACAAUGUCAAGGAGCUGGAAGUGCUGCUGAUGUGCAACAA
Molecule: long non-coding RNA, 1132 nt
Filed under: Rattus norvegicus (Norway rat)
Lineage: Eukaryota; Metazoa; Chordata; Mammalia; Rodentia; Muridae
Description: long non-coding RNA NONRATT021725
Source: RNAcentral